AUUGAACGCUGGCGGCAGGCCUAACACAUGCAAGUCGGACGAGUGGCGGACGGGUGAGUAAUGUCUAGGGAACUGCCUGAUGGAGGGGGAUAACUACUGGAAACGGUAGCUAAUACCGCAUAACAUCAGAUGAGCCCAUAUGGGAUUAGAUUGUUGGUGAGGUAACGGCUCACCUAGGCGACGAUCCCUAGCUGGGCUGAGAGGAUGACCAGCCACACUGGAACUGCGACACGCCCCAGCCUCCUACGGUAGGCAGCAGUGGUGAAUAUUGCACAAUGGUCGCAAGCCUGAUGCAGCCAUGCCGCGUGUAUGAAGAAGGCCUUCGGGUUGUAAAGUACUUUCAUUGGGGAGGCGUUACCUGCAGAAGAAGCACCGGCUAACUCCGUGCCAGCAGCCGCGGUAAUUC
This 406-nucleotide ribosomal RNA is filed under the name uncultured bacterium. RNAcentral's name for it is "partial 16S ribosomal RNA". It matches the Rfam family "Bacterial small subunit ribosomal RNA", at positions 30 to 526 of the family's 1533-position model. The record is from RNAcentral.